RNAcentral lists this ribosomal RNA (505 nucleotides) under uncultured bacterium. Its description in RNAcentral is "partial 16S ribosomal RNA". It matches the Rfam family "Bacterial small subunit ribosomal RNA", at positions 28 to 507 of the family's 1533-position model. The record is from RNAcentral.
GACGAACGCUGGCGGCGUGCCUAAUACAUGCAAGUAGAACGCACAGUUUAUACCGUAGCUUGCUACACCAUAAACUGUGAGUUGCGAACGGGUGAGUAACGCGUAGGUAACCUGCCUGGUAGCGGGGGAUAACUAUUGGAAACGAUAGCUAAUACCGCAUAAUAUUAAUUAUUGCAUGAUAAUUGAUUGAAAGAUGCAAUUGCAUCACUACCAGAUGGACCUGCGUUGUAUUAGCUAGUAGGUGAGGUAACGGCUCACCUAGGCGACGAUACAUAGCCGACCUGAGAGGGUGAUCGGCCACACUGGGACUGAGACACGGCCCAGACUCCUACGGGAGGCAGCAGGAGGGAAUCUUCGGCAAUGGACGAAAGUCUGACCGAGCAACGCCGCGGGAGUGAAGAAGGUUUUCGGAUCGUAAAGCUCUGUUGUAAGAGAAGAACGGGUGUGAGAGUGGAAAGUUCACACUGUGACGGUAUCUUACCAGAAAGGGACGGCUAACUACGUG